CUCGAAGACAGGCGCCCUAUUAGCGUCAUCAAAUUGUUGCGGUAAAAAAGCUCGUAGUUGGAUUUCUGCGGGGAACGACCGGUCCACUCAACGAGUGCGUAUCUGGUUCGGUCUCUGCAUCCUCUCGAAAGACGUUUCUGCGCUUGAUUGCGUGGUUCGGAUCUCGGGACUUUUACUUUGAGGAAAUUAGAGUGUUCACGGCAGGCUAUCGCCAGAAUACAUUAGCAUGGAAUAAUACUAUAGGAUCUGAAUCUUAUUUUGUUGGUUCCUUUGAUUUAGAUAAUGACUAAUAGGGACAAUUGGGGGCAUUCGUAUGAUGACGUCAGAGGUGGAAUUCUUAGAUUGUCAUCCGACGAACGACUGCGAAAGCAUUUGCCAAGGAUGUUUUCAUUGAUCAAGAACGAAAGUUAGGGAAUCGAAGACGAUUAGAUACCGUCGUAGUCUUAACCAUAAACUAUGCCAACUAGAAAUUGGAGCAUCUUCUCUUUCGAGGGCUUCAGCGUCUUAUGAGAUAUCAAAGUUUCUGGGUUCCGGGGGGAGUAUGAUCGCAAGUUUGGAACUUAAAGGAAUUGACGGAAGGGCACCACCAGGAGUGGAGCCUGCGGCUUAAUUUGACUCAACACGGGGAAACUCACCAGGUCCAGACAUAAUAAGGAUUGACAGAUUGAUAGCUCUUUCUUGAUUUUAUGGGUGGUGGUGCAUGGCCGUUCUUAGUUCGUGGAGUGAUUUGUCUGCUUAAUUGCGUUAACGAACGAGACCUUAACCUGCUAAAUAGAAGCGCCUAUCCUCGGAUAAGCGCCUUUCUUCUUAGAGGGACUUUUAUGCGUUUCAGCAUAGGGAAGUUUGACGCUAAAACAGGUCUGUGAUGCCCUUCGAUGUUCUGGGCUGCACGCGCGCUACACUGUUGCGUUCAACGAGUGUACAACCUUGCCGAUAGGGUUGGGUAACCUUUUGACACGCAACGUGAUGGGGAUAGAGUAUUGUAACUAUUACUCUUCAACGAGGAA
This 1007-nucleotide ribosomal RNA is filed under the name uncultured marine alveolate. RNAcentral describes it as "bacterial SSU rRNA". It matches the Rfam family "Eukaryotic small subunit ribosomal RNA", at positions 1 to 1610 of the family's 1831-position model. The record is from RNAcentral.